GCGCCUGUAGCUCAGUUGGAUAGAGCAGUGGACUUCGAAUCCAAAGGUCGGAGGUUCGAAUCCUCCCAGGCGCGCCA
RNAcentral lists this transfer RNA (77 nucleotides) under SAR324 cluster bacterium. Its description in RNAcentral is "tRNA-Arg". It matches the Rfam family "tRNA". From Rfam's summary of the family: Transfer RNA (tRNA) molecules are approximately 80 nucleotides in length. Their secondary structure includes four short double-helical elements and three loops (D, anti-codon, and T loops). Lineage: Bacteria; Deltaproteobacteria. The record is from RNAcentral.